This is a long non-coding RNA of Populus nigra (black poplar), 4883 nucleotides long. RefSeq lists it as uncharacterized. Lineage: Eukaryota; Viridiplantae; Streptophyta; Magnoliopsida; Malpighiales; Salicaceae. The transcript is spliced from 2 exons. The record is from RefSeq and is a predicted model, not a curated record.
GAGCCUGUAAAAGCCUCCAAAGCCACUCGCUUUCUUUUCUAUUAAAAAGCUCCUUAGAAGAAGACAACAUCAUCCCUCCAAAACCUACCAGCCUUUUCAUUAUUUUAUUCAUACAAUGACCAGUCUAUCAUGCGUUUUACCACUUUUAUCUCUUUGUUUAUCUUUUCUCUUACCUCCAUUUACUGAUCCCUUCGUCUCAUCUCUAUUUCUUUAUCAUUUUGUGGGCGAGAGUGUGUGUGUGGUAUUGUGUGCUUGUAACUAUAAAGACGAAGAUAAUAUAGAGACUUGAGUAUAUUUCAGCCUUGUUAGGUUUUGGUUGCUGAAUCAUGAGAAAGAAAUCAUGACUCAGUUAUAUAGAGAAGAAACCAUGAAAGAUGGAAAAGGGGUGUUUGGAAUGAAGUUUGAUCCAAGAUCCUUGUCUCUCCCGUUAACUUAGUCUCUGUUACUGUUAGGUUUUCAUUACUGAGUGUAUUUGCAGCCCCCUUGUCUGAUUUUAGCAUCGUGAGGGUAGGAAGUGCUGGUAAUCAUAGGGUUUGGUUCAAGAUCCAUUUGACUCUUCUCUUUAUAUCUCUCCUGUGUCCUAGCUGUUAAUCUGUAGUAGUCUUAAUUAUCCCUUACUUCUCGUUAAUUUUUAGGUUUGAUCUUGCAAGUAAUUAUAUUUGGAAAAUAUCAUAAAAUGAUCUCGGACCAGGCUUCAUUCCUUACACCUCGCUUUUCUUUUAUUAUCUGGUUACAAGAACCUAAUUAAGGUAUGCUCCUAAUCCCAUCCUUUUUCAAGGUCCUGAAACAAUACAUCUUUAUACCUGUUUAAGUCUGUAUAUAUAGAUUGUUUACUGCAUUUAUUGCUUUAUUUUCAAUCAUUAACGUGAAGAGCUUGAACUGAUAAUUCACUGAUCUAGAUCUUACCAUGUACUUCAAUAUUCGACUGGCUGCUGACAUCCUUUCAUAUUCCUUUCCUUUGUUACUGCUACUUAUUAAGCUUUUCAUUGACCUAUUUGUACGAUUGCAUGAAUUUGAUCAGAAAUACCUAGUAAUUUGUAUGAUGGAGUCCAAUGUUUUUAAUUUGAGAAAAACAUAUGUAGUAAUACAUCCCGCUUGUUUCUUCUCCCCAGUUAUUUCCCUUCCAACACAGAGAAUAUUCUCCAUUAACUAACAUCAAAGAUUCGCAGACAAACAAUACAAUACAAGACAUGUACGAAUGAUUCUUUAAUCAGAAAUAUUAAGAAUACAUAUAAUGUCAGGUAUAUAUACUUUAAUUCCAGCUUGGAACUUUGUAUCAAAUUUCCCUUUAAUGUGCCAAGUGUUUUUUACUCUUCAACACCUCGAGCCCUAAGCAAAUAUUUUGAUUCUUGGUCUGUUAGAAGGUCUGCUUCACGGUGAUGGAUUUCAUAAGUAUAAACCCUAACUGGGGCCUGAGAUCAUAUAUCUAUAUGCAUGCAUCAUGUGGGUUAAUUUACACACACAAACACACACACACACACACACACAGCUGGUAGUCCUUUUUUGUACCGUCCCAGGUUUAUAACUAUUACAUAUUUGACAUGAUGUAAUGAAAAAUGAAAUAUUGAUGCUGUUUUAAAAUAUUUUAAAUUAAUUUUCGACCAAUUUUGUUUCUUCAACCGAUUUAACUACAAUUGCUUAUUUCAUUAUUACCUUAAUUUCAUGCUCAGUUUACAAUAUUAUAUACAGUCAAAUUCAUUCUUAAUUAAAUAUCUUGUAUAUUGUUCACAUUUGAUCUUCUACCAGUGGCGAAAAUAAUGAUGUUGCAGAGUCAUAAUUUAACUGAUCAGGCUAUUAUCAUCGACAAAAUAUUUUUUUUAGGGCAUGGAGGCUCGUUUUCUACGUAUACCAUUUAGCUUUUUCUUGUUUUGGUUUUGUAAGUAUAUAAUUUUCAAUCCUAUUUUUAUAUGAGAUGACAUAAAGAGUUGUGAGAUUCUAACAUAGAUAAAUGUCAUCAUUGAUAUUGAUUUCGACCACAAAAAUAAUUGAUUUUAAUAUCAAUGAAUUUCAUUUGAUGAAGAGAAUUUUAUCUAGGUGUUAUUAUUUCCUUAUCUUUUCUCGAGAAUGUAGAUUUGCCUACAAGAAGAUUUUCAAGGUAUUUUUUGAGUUAUUUGAGGUAAAAAAUAGGUUUUUCAAAAUGUUUAGCAUGUUUUCAUAAUGUUUUGAGUUGAGAAUGAGUGUUUUAGCAAAAAAAAAAUAAAACCCUAAUUUUCCAGUGACCCUCUAGUCACUAGAUAUUCUUCAAAUAAAAGAUGGUGUAUCGUCUGCUUAUAUUAAACCCAAAAAUAGAAGUGGAUAAUAGGUUGUCCGUCCAUGAAAAAAUAAAAAAAUAAGUAGUACCUAAUUAUUUUAAUUUGCAUGCUAGGUCCACAUGCAUAGGCAUGCUAGGUCACUAAGACCUAAUUUUUUUUUUUUUUUUUAUUAUCUCAAUCUCAUGACCUGAGUAAUGAGUUUGGAAGGUUGACUCGGGUCAUUUUUUAAGUUAUUUUUCUAUUGAUUUUUUUCAAUUAUCCUUCAAUAUUAGGUUAUCAUGAUCUUAUAACUUGGUAUGUUGAUUGACAUGUUAACUUAAGUUAACACGAACUAAUCGAAUAUGUUUUUGUGUCAAUGUUUAUUAAGAAAAUCUCACCUUAAAUAUUUAUUUUGAUUCAAAAUAUAUUUUUAUAAAUCAUCCAAAUUGUUUUUGGAGGCACCAAGAUAACUGAAUUACAUCGGAACAAUUCUCACACGUUUAAAAAUUAUUCUAUUAUAAAAAACAUUGGCAACACCUAUAUUUUUUUACGUUAAAAAAAAUUGAUAUGAUUUGUGACGUUACACGAACUAAUGAUCUAAUAAAGAUCUAAAAGGAAAGAAACUCAAACCAAAAACAUAGCCACCUCCAUCAAAUUCCAAUAUAAAAGAAUUUCUUAUACCAAAUUAAAAAAUUCUCAAAUUCAUAAAUAAAUAAAAUAUUAAAAUUUGAAAUCUAGAAACUAAAAACCCUAAAUCUCUAACACUAGAAUCUUCAACAAAACCACAUAUAAAUAAUUUUGUUUACCAAAUCAAAUUCAUAAACCAAACAACUAUAAAUUUAAGAACUAAGAUUCAAAGAACCCCAAAUCAUCAACAUUGCCACUUUUCUCUUGAGUGAAUUUUUUAUGGAGUUAAUUUUUUUGAGAUAAAUGAUCGAGUGCUUAUAUCAAGAGGAGAAUAAGAAACAAAAAGAAAAAAGAUUAUAUAUAUAUAUAUGGUGGUGAGUUUGGCUGUGGUACUUUCAUGGUUGCAGUUGUUUGAGAGAGAGAGAGAGAUGGACCUAGAGAGAGUACAGGCAUUGUGUGAUUUGAUCUGGACUGAAUGUUUUUUAUAUCAAGACAUUCUUGUAUUGUUUAUUUAUUUUUCUGAUAAAUCAAUGUUAAUUGAAGAUUUAAAGGGCAAUUUUUUGAAAGAUUGGUAUGCAAAAUAUUUUGUAUUUAUUAAUUUUGUAAAGUGGUGAUGAAAUUACAUAUAGAUGUGCUGCUCAAUUAAGCAACAAGAUAUGAUUGAUUUCAUUUGGUAAAAUGUUGGGAAGGGAGAAAAAUUCAUGUGAUUGAACACUCUCUUUUUGUUGUUAUUAUACAAUAAUUAAGUAAAUGAUUACAUACACAAGAGAAAAUGUUACUUUGUUACGAAUUUUGUAUGCAGGAAACAGAGAAUGAGAGAAGUGAAAGAACGAUCACAUCAGGUUGCCGCAUAUUACAAAGGAUUCUUUUGGAUUAUAUAUUCACAUUUCAUGAGUAAAGAAAAACUUUUUUAGGAAAUUUGAAAUAGAGAAAUUCAGGGAAUUUUUGAAUUUUUUUUUGUUUAAAAUGAAUUUUUUUUUAUAUUUUCAGAUUGUUUUGAUGUGUUGAUAUUAAAAAUAUUUUUUUAAAAAUAUUUUUUUAUUUUAAUGUAUUUUUAAAUAAAAAAACAUUUUAAACUAUCACCGCUAUUAUAAUUUCAAACAAACCUCUGACAUUUAGGUUUGCACUUGAUUACACUUGUCGUUUUAAUUUUAGAAAGUACACCUUAGAAACAUAAAAUUUAAAUUUUGAUAAUUAGAAAAAUAAAAAUACUCUUACAUAAUAUUACCUCCAAUGUAUAAAUCAAUCCCAUCAUUUUUUUCUUUUCCAUAACUUUUCUCUCCCUCUCCACUAACAGAAAAUCAAACAUGAAUCAAAGCAAGAUUAUAUUCUAUUUGGGGUUUCUAAUAAGUUAGUGUUAUUUAAGGAUAUUCUUAUCAUGUUAAAGAUUAAUUAAUAAUUGUACAGUUGCAAAUGAUUAUAUUCUUUUAGGGUUCUAAUUCAGAUUUUUUUGUUAAAGAUUUAUACCAAACAGGUGAGCUAUGGACAUGGAUUAUGAACCUUACAUGCUCGUUGAAGGGAGGAAAGCCAAGGAGAAUCCACCCUUGCAAUCGCUAGACCAGAAGCUUUUGGCAGAGGCUUUCAAUAUGAACGGAAGACUAAUUUUAGCCUCAGAAGAACAAACCACCCACCCUAGUAGUAGAAGACCCUAUACCGUUGUUUUCAUCAUCAUCAUCAACAUCUUUUCAUCCUUCUAAACCUGUCAAGCCCCAGCGACACAUCCCUCAGAUUGAGGCAGCGAUAACGUGCUUGCAAUAGCUCUUGAAACAACCACUGAUUUAUCUUUGGAAUGCCUCAAACAAUUCUAUCUCAGAACUAGACACUUUUAACGAGGAAGAUGGUCCUGUCACUAGCAUGAGCUGGGCACUAGUCAUUUAUUUUCAAACUUUGACCGGAUUCCAGUGAGGAGAAAAGGGUGAUGGUGACAACUAGAGCUUUUUGUUUUUCUAACUUGUUGACAGUUGCAGAUUUUUAUUUAAAAAGACUCAUCAGUCAUAUAAUCCAAUUAUAACAGCAGUCCUGUAA